Molecule: ribosomal RNA, 234 nt
Filed under: uncultured bacterium
Lineage: Bacteria
Description: partial 16S ribosomal RNA
Rfam family: Bacterial small subunit ribosomal RNA
Source: RNAcentral
UACGUAGGGGGCAAGCGUUGUCCGGAUUUAUUGGGCGUAAAGAGCGUGUAGGCGGCCAUACAGGUCAGCUGUGAAAACUCGAGGCUCAACCUCGAGACGUCGGUUGAAACCGUAUGGCUAGAGUCCGGAAGAGGAGAGUGGAAUUCCCGGUGUAGCGGUGAAAUGCGCAGAUAUCGGGAAGAACACCCGUGGCGAAGGCGGCUCUCUGGGACGGUACUGACGCGUGAGACGGCG